RNAcentral lists this ribosomal RNA (254 nucleotides) under uncultured bacterium. RNAcentral describes it as "partial 16S ribosomal RNA". It matches the Rfam family "Bacterial small subunit ribosomal RNA", at positions 524 to 776 of the family's 1533-position model. The record is from RNAcentral.
UACGGGGGGAGCAAGCGUUGUUCGGAUUUACUGGGCGUAAAGGGCGCGUAGGCGGUCGUGACAAGUCACUUGUGAAAUCUCCGGGCUUAACUCGGAACGGUCAAGUGAUACUGUCGGACUAGAGUACAGAAGGGGCAACUGGAAUUCUCGGUGUAGCGGUGAAAUGCGUAGAGAUCCGGAAGAACACCGGAGGCGAAGGCGGCUUGCUGGGCUUGGUCUGACGCUGAGGCGCGAAAGCGUGGGGAGCGAACAGG